UACGGGAGGCAGCAGUGGGGAAUAUUGGACAAUGGGCGCAAGCCUGAUCCAGCCAUGCCGCGUGUGUGAAGAAGGCCUUCGGGUUGUAAAGCACUUUUGUCCGGAAAGAAAAGCUUAGGGUUAAUAACCUUGAGUCAUGACGGUACCGGAAGAAUAAGCACCGGCUAACUUCGUGCCAGCAGCCGCGGUAAUACGAAGGGUGCAAGCAUUACUCGGAAUUACUGGGCGUAAAAGCGUGCGUAGGUGGUUUUGUUAAGUCUGAUGUGAAAGCCCUGGGCUCAACCUGGGAAUGGCAUUGGAAACUGGCUUACUAGAGUGCGGUAGAGGGGGUGUGGAAUUCCCGGUGUAGCAGUGAAAUGCGUAGAUAUCGGGAGGAACAUCUGUGGUGAAGGCGACACCCUGGACCAGCACUGACACUGAGGCACGAAAGCGUGGGGAGCAAACAGGAUUAGAUACC
This 457-nucleotide ribosomal RNA is filed under the name uncultured bacterium. Its description in RNAcentral is "bacterial SSU rRNA". It matches the Rfam family "Bacterial small subunit ribosomal RNA", at positions 340 to 786 of the family's 1533-position model. The record is from RNAcentral.